UUCCUACGGGGGGCAGCAGUAGGGAAUCUUCCACAAUGGGCGAAAGCCUGAUGGAGCAACGCCGCGUGGGUGAAGAAGGUCUUCGGAUCGUAAAACCCUGUUGUUAGAGAAGAAAGUGCGUGAGAGUAACUGUUCACGUUUCGACGGUAUCUAACCAGAAAGCCACGGCUAACUACGUGCCAGCAGCCGCGGUAAUACGUAGGUGGCAAGCGUUAUCCGGAUUUAUUGGGCGUAAAGGGAGCGUAGGCGGCCUGGCAAGCCUGAUGUGAAAUACCGGGGCCCAACCCCGGGGCUGCAUUGGGAAC
RNAcentral lists this ribosomal RNA (305 nucleotides) under uncultured bacterium. RNAcentral describes it as "bacterial SSU rRNA". It matches the Rfam family "Bacterial small subunit ribosomal RNA", at positions 336 to 633 of the family's 1533-position model. The record is from RNAcentral.